UCCGUCUCACUUUUCUUUUGUAACGCGACUUUGAAAAUGGCAAGACGUGUUGCUGUUGGAUAUUCUUGUAAAUUAAAUAAAAUGUUGAAAAAGAGCUAAUACAAAAUUAUGUAGCCGUACCAGAAGAAAUUUGAAAUUCCGAUGUAUUUCAGCUAUAGCACGUGCUGCCAUGAACAAACAGAAACAUUGUGAGACGAGUACACAUCAUGGUCGUUAUCCACGUGUUGAAAACUUGGAGCAAUAUUAAGUUGUUACUAAUAACGUGAUGGAAAGAACUAAGGAGUAUGCAGGCAAUGAGCUCUUGCGCUCUGGAAGUUGUUAAUGAUCUGCUGCACUGUGCUGAUUUAAAUAGCUGUUGUUGAAGCACUUUUUAAUUCGGACGCCUAUUGCCUAGUAAAAUCGAUAAGAUAACAAAGCGAAAAGGUUGUCGGCUUCUUUGGACUGACUCGCUUCUUCCUCCACUUCCAGCACUCAAUUGUUAGAAUUGACUUUUAUUUAUAUACGAAAGCGCCAAAUCUGUUUGACAUUAGCGAAACUUUUAAUUCAAGCAACCUCAACAACGCUCAAGGAGGGAGAAUGCUAAAAUUGUUAAAAUUUGUACAUAUUGUUCAACAGAAAUAAAUAAAAAGUCUGCUGACUAUAUUUUU
Long non-coding RNA from Drosophila busckii, 647 nucleotides. RefSeq lists it as uncharacterized. The record is from RefSeq and is a predicted model, not a curated record. The transcript is spliced from 8 exons. NCBI's taxonomy places the organism in Eukaryota, Metazoa, Arthropoda, Insecta, Diptera, Drosophilidae.